GACGAACGCUGGCGGCGUGCCUAAUACAUGCAAGUCGAGCGGACCAAAGGGAGCUUGCUCCUGGAGGUUAGCGGCGAACGGGUGAGUAACACGUGGGCAACCUGCCUGUAAGACUGGGAUAACAUCGAGAAAUCGGUGCUAAUACCGGAUAAUAAAAAGAACUGCAUGGUUCUUUUUUGAAAGAUGGUUUCGGCUAUCACUUACAGAUGGGCCCGCGGCGCAUUAGCUAGUUGGUGGGGUAACGGCUCACCAAGGCGACGAUGCGUAGCCGACCUGAGAGGGUGAUCGGCCACACUGGGACUGAGACACGGCCCAGACUCCUACGGGAGGCAGCAGUAGGGAAUCUUCCGCAAUGGACGAAAGUCUGACGGAGCAACGCCGCGUGAGUGAUGAAGGUUUUCGGAUCGUAAAACUCUGUUGUUAGGGAAGAACAAGUGCCGUUCGAAAGGGCGGCACCUUGACGGUACCUAACGAGAAAGCCACGGCUAACUACGUGCCAGCAGCCGCG
Molecule: ribosomal RNA, 508 nt
Filed under: uncultured bacterium
Lineage: Bacteria
Description: bacterial SSU rRNA
Rfam family: Bacterial small subunit ribosomal RNA
Source: RNAcentral